This 838-nucleotide ribosomal RNA is filed under the name Actinomadura sp. IM-7435. RNAcentral describes it as "bacterial SSU rRNA". It matches the Rfam family "Bacterial small subunit ribosomal RNA", at positions 38 to 889 of the family's 1533-position model. The record is from RNAcentral. Lineage: Bacteria; Bacillati; Actinomycetota; Actinomycetes; Streptosporangiales; Thermomonosporaceae.
GGCGGCGUGCUUAACACAUGCAAGUCGAGCGGAAAGGCCCCUUCGGGGGUACUCGAGCGGCGAACGGGUGAGUAACACGUGAGCAACCUGCCCCUGACUCUGGGAUAAGCCCGGGAAACUGGGUCUAAUACCGGAUAUGACCACGGGGUCGCAUGGCCUUGUGGUGGAAAGUUUUUCGGUUGGGGAUGGGCUCGCGGCCUAUCAGCUUGUUGGUGGGGUGAUGGCCUACCAAGGCGACGACGGGUAACCGGCCUGAGAGGGCGACCGGUCACACUGGGACUGAGACACGGCCCAGACUCCUACGGGAGGCAGCAGUGGGGAAUAUUGCGCAAUGGGCGGAAGCCUGACGCAGCGACGCCGCGUGGGGGAUGACGGCCUUCGGGUUGUAAACCUCUUUCAGCAGGGACGAAGCUAACGUGACGGUACCUGCAGAAGAAGCGCCGGCUAACUACGUGCCAGCAGCCGCGGUAAUACGUAGGGCGCAAGCGUUGUCCGGAAUUAUUGGGCGUAAAGAGCUCGUAGGCGGUUUGUCGCGUCUGUCGUGAAAGCCCACGGCUUAACUGUGGGUCUGCGGUGGAUACGGGCAGACUAGAGGCAGGUAGGGGAGAAUGGAAUUCCCGGUGUAGCGGUGAAAUGCGCAGAUAUCGGGAGGAACACCGGUGGCGAAGGCGGUUCUCUGGGCCUGUACUGACGCUGAGGAGCGAAAGCGUGGGGAGCGAACAGGAUUAGAUACCCUGGUAGUCCACGCCGUAAACGUUGGGCGCUAGGUGUGGGGUCCUUCCACGGAUUCCGCGCCGCAGCUAACGCAUUAAGCGCCCCGCCUGGGGAGUACGGCCGC